This 253-nucleotide ribosomal RNA is filed under the name uncultured bacterium. RNAcentral describes it as "partial 16S ribosomal RNA". It matches the Rfam family "Bacterial small subunit ribosomal RNA", at positions 524 to 776 of the family's 1533-position model. The record is from RNAcentral.
UACGUAGGGUGCGAGCGUUAAUCGGAAUUACUGGGCGUAAAGCGUGCGUAGGCGGUUGUGUAAGACAGAUGUGAAAUCCCCGGGCUUAACCUGGGAACUGCAUUUGUGACUGCACGGCUGGAGUGCGGCAGAGGGGGAUGGAAUUCCGCGUGUAGCAGUGAAAUGCGUAGAUAUGCGGAGGAACACCGAUGGCGAAGGCAAUCCCCUGGGCCUGCACUGACGCUCAUGCACGAAAGCGUGGGGAGCAAACAGG